GCCUCUAUAGCACAGUGGUAGUGCGUUCGCUUCGUAAGCGAAAGGUCGCGAGUUCGAACCUCGCUGGAGGCU
This is a non-coding RNA of Picea glauca (white spruce), 72 nucleotides long. The record is from Rfam. NCBI's taxonomy places the organism in Eukaryota, Viridiplantae, Streptophyta, Pinopsida, Pinales, Pinaceae.